Molecule: long non-coding RNA, 3408 nt
Filed under: Gossypium barbadense (sea-island cotton)
Lineage: Eukaryota; Viridiplantae; Streptophyta; Magnoliopsida; Malvales; Malvaceae
Description: long non-coding RNA (GBAR_LNC013102)
Source: RNAcentral
AAAGAUAUUGGGAGCAAAGGGCUCAAUUGAAUUGGUUAAAAUUAGGUGACAAAAAUAUAGCUAUUUUCCAUGGUCAAGCAACCCAAAGGCAGAGAAAAAACAAGAUCAGGAGGUUACAAAAUGCACAUGGAAAGGAUACAAAAGAUCCCCAAGAAAUAGAAGAAAUAGCAAGAUCCUACUUCCAGAAUUUAUUUGCUUCAGAAAAUCAAGAGAAUCUCGACUAUUUACUCUUGGGUAUUGGUCGAUGUAUCUAUGAAGAGGAAAAUAAAAAGCUGACUGCGCAAUAUACAGGAGAAGAAAUCCGCGAUGCUUUGUUCGAGAUGGCACCCACUAAGGCACCAGGCGAAGAUGGAUUCCCAGCUUUAUUUUAUCGGAAGUGUUGGCAUUUUAUUGGAGAGGAUGUAGUUUCCUUCUGUCUACAACUCUUGAAUGAAGAUAUGGAGGUUAGUUCAAUUAAUACAACUCAUAUUGUGCUUAUUCCAAAAACUAAUAAUCUCGCUAAUAUGACACAUUUUAGGUCAAUUAGUUUAUGCAAUGUCAUUUAUAAAAUAAUGGAAAAAGCUAUAGCGAACAAAUUUAGAGGAGUGAUUGAUAAAUGCAUUGAUAGUGCACAAAGUGCCUUUGUGCCAGGAAGAUUAAUCUCAGAUAAUGUUCUGCUUGCUUACGAGAUAUUGCAUUCCCUAAAACAGAAAAGAGUGAGGAAAAAGGGCUAUAUGGCUGUAAAAUUGAAUAUGAGUAAGGCUUACGAUAGAGUUGAAUAGAAUUUUAUUAAAGAAAUAAUGUGUCGAAUGGGUUUCGCAUGAAGUUGGAUUGAUACUAUUAUGAAAUGCAUGACUACCGUUUCUUACAAGGUUGUGGUAAAUUGAAAUGUUGGGGUGACAUUUAGUUCAUCGAGGGACUUCGACAAGGUGAUCCUUCGAGUCUAUUUCUUUUCUUAAUAUGUGGGGAAUGCCUUUCCAGUCUUAUGAGAAAAGCAACAAAUGAAGGUUUUUUGAAGGGUGUCAAAGUAAGCAGAAGAGGACCACAUGUAUCACAUUUAUUUGUAGAUGAUUGCAUUCGUUUUGGGGAGGCAACAUGUAGAGGGGCUAAUACAAUCAAAGAAAUCUUAAGUGAGUAUAAAAGAGGUUCGGGACAGUGUGAAUAUGGACAAAUCAACUAUUUUUCUCAGCAAAAAUACGACGGCAGAAGAAAUAAGUCAGGUGGUAAACUUGCUAGGAAUCCAAAGCUCAAAUGAACCAGAACGUUAUCUAGGUUUGCCGACCAUGGUAGGACGAAAAAAGAAGGCUUCUUUUCAGGCUUUGAAACAUAGACUAAGAGGGCAUAUUGAUAACUGGAGCAUUAGAUUUUUAUCGCAGGGCGGGAAAGAAGUUUUCAUCAAAGCUGUAUUACAGGCCAUCCCGACAUAUUCAAUGGCUUGCUUCUUACUCCCAAAAAUUUUAUGCGAAGAAAUGGAAGGAAUUAUCGCGAAACUUUGGUGGAAAAAGGGUCAAGGUAAAGGGGAAUUCAUUGGUGCUCUUGGAAUAAUCUUUGCAAUUUAAAAGAAAAGGGAGGUUUGGGUUUUCGUAAUCUCAGUCAGUUUAAUAUUGCGUUAUUAGCCAAACAGGGGUGGCGUCUUUUUAAUUAUCCAAAUUCACUUUUAGCUAGAGUCUUUAAAGCAAAGUAUUAUCCACAGUCUGUUUUUUUAAGUGCAGAGUUUGGGGAAUUUACCUUCUUACCUGGAAGAGUAUCUGGGCAGUAAAGAAACUCCUCCUUCAGGGGCUAAGUUGGAGAGUUGGGAAAAGAAACAAUGUUUUCAUCUGGACAGAUCGGUGGAUUCCAAGGAUUGAACCUAGUACAUGGCAGAAUGAAGAUGAAAAUAGGGAGCUAAAAACAGUAUCAGAUUUAAUUGAUGGAACAAAUAAGAAGUGGAAAACGGAGGUCAUUAUUAGUACCUCUCAAUCGGAUAUAGCUAAAAAAAUUUUGGAGAUACCACUUGCAGAAAUGGACAGUGAAGACUUGCGCGUUUGGAAAGGUAAACCGACCGGAGAGUUCUCUGUACGGAGCACCUAUAAACUAUUACAAGAAGUUGAUUUAAUUUCUAAUAACUUAUUACAGACUGAUUUUAAAGAAUUCUAGAGAAAGUUAUGGGAUUUACAACUUCCAUCAAAAACUCUACUGUUUGUCUGGCGGAUAUCCUGGAACUAUAUUCCUACACUAGCCAACCUACGAUACAAGCGAAUAACCACAAAUGUGAGAUGCCCUCGAUGUGGCUUCGGGGAAGAGGACAACUUCUAUGUAUUCCAGUAAUGCCUUACAAGUACUGAAGUUUAGCAUAAUAUUAACAUGGAUUGGGUUACAUCAUAUUCAGAUCAAAAUACCAGAACAUGGCUUACAUGGGUAUUUGCAAAAGGAACUAAGGAACAGUGUCAGAUGUUUUGCUACGCUUUAUGGAUCAUAUGGAGCUCAUGAAAUCAAAUGGCACAUGAAAAAAAACACGCAUUAGAAAGGGACCUUGCACAGAAAAUAGAGAGCUAUAUAGCAGAACUUGAAGGAGUGGGUAAAGAAAGAUGUACCUUGAAGACUGCCAGAAUAUAGAGACAUACGGAGGAGAAAACGGAGGACACAACACAAUUUGAUGCAGCUUUUGAUGCAAACAGGUCCAGAUCGGCGUCGGGGGUCAUUGUAUGAAACCGGAUAGGAGAGAUGAGAGUCUUAAAAACAACCCUUCAUUCCAAUGUCUCAUCCCCAUUUCUUGCAGAGGCAUUCGCUUGUCUACAGGCAAUCAAGCUGGGUAUUUCACUGGGCCUCCGAUCAGUCACAAUAAGGGGAGAUUCGAAGACAAUCAUUAAAAAAUGUCAAUCGGCAGGGAUGGAUAAAUCGAUCAUUGGAGCAGUUAUCAAUGAUAUCAAGAGUCAUAGUUCGCUAUUUCAAGAAAUAGAUUUUCAGUUUAUUCAAAAAUCAAAGAACUUCCAAGCCCACAAAAUAGCGAAGGAAACAUUAGCAAAUGGGGAAGAGAGGUACUUGGUUAGAGAUGAGUCGAUCUACAACGAAGGAGCCAUGGAAGAGGAAUGGUCAAGAAACCCGGAUUGAAGAAAAUUUCAAAAAGAAAGAGAAUUGAAAAUGGUAACAGGAUUGAAGAAAGAACGUUUUGGAAACUGUUAUCUGCCAAAUAGAUGUGACGAUUCAGCAUGAAAAGGAGAGAUUUUAAUACGUCCAGGCUGUCUGAUUUGACUGGGUAAUAAUGUUAGGUUUUGUGUUUUUUUCAUUUUUUCGUUUCUAUUUUAUUAGGCUAAAAUUCUGAUGGGUAAACUUUGUAGCCCACCUAUUGCUUUAGGGUGUUUUCAGCAGACUCCAAACCCAAUUAUAUUGGGUAUUAUUGUGUUUUGUUUCCAUUAUUUAUACUAGUCCAGUUAUAUCUUUUUAAAAAAA